Molecule: long non-coding RNA, 743 nt
Filed under: Actinidia chinensis (golden kiwifruit)
Lineage: Eukaryota; Viridiplantae; Streptophyta; Magnoliopsida; Ericales; Actinidiaceae
Description: long non-coding RNA (ACHI_LNC002841)
Source: RNAcentral
UUCAAUUGAACACGCCCCCAACCACAUAGAGUUGCCCUUGCAGUGUGCACAAAAAUUAGCUAAUUGGAGCAUUUUUGAGCUCUGAAAAUAAUCGAAAGGCAUUGCUUAUGCACACCUACAUGAACCCGCGAGAUGUAAAAUGCAAAAACAAGCGGCUGAGCACGAUCUGUUAACUAUUUUCUCAACUUUCACAAUUGUGCACAAUUAGCAGAUAACUAAACAUGCCGUUUCCAUCAUUCCAAAGCUGUUUCCUACCAAAACAACUUUAAAAUGCAAACAAACUGCAAUGAGAACCUUGAGGUCCAACUUCAACAACUUGUUACUAAUUCCGCUGCUUUCCUUCCUGCAAAUCUGAUCAUUUUCCUAUAGUCCAGAUCCAUUUACCUGUUCUAGGUAACUGCAAGAAAACCCAGAAAAAUAUUUUAUGGAAAUGCAUUGAACCAAAAAUGGACAAGUAAUCGGACAAAGCAAGUCAAAUCCCCAUUACGAUGAUAAAAUGAAAGAGAAUAUUAUAUGACCUACUGAAGACAACCAGAAACAUGUUCUAUGGUUUCAUUUGCAGAAAGGUUCCUGAAGAGUACAACUCGAAUCACAAUGCCCUUUCAUGUAUGUGCAGCCUCUGGAGAUUAGUUUGACAACGCUAAAAUUCCUAGCUAAAAAAAUCCUGCAAUGAACACACGGUAGAGCAUCGUUAUCCUCAAAACCCCUAUCGUUUCGGAAACUAUCCUCUUGUUUGGGCAAAU